AUUAGGCAGAUUACCUUAGUGCUGUGUGAAAGAUGAACUGGAGGGAGAGGGACACAUUCAGAAGUCAUUGUAGUCAUCUGGGCAAGAAGUGAUGACUGUCAGUGGAGAUGAGGGGACAGAUGUGAGAAAGGCAGUUCUACUCUAGCGAGUUUUCCGAUGGUGUUCCCAGGUAAAUAGGCUCGGACACAAUUUCUGUAGCAAUAAGGUAUCAUCUCAGCUCAGUCUUCGACCAGAGGGUUAAGAGAUGAACAUGUUAGUUUCUGCCUGGGCUUCCUGGAGUCACUGCAGCAACAUUACAGCCUCAGGUCUUCUUUACCCACUAAGAACCUUCCACUAAGGGAGGAUUUGGAAGGUUGGACCUACUGCUAGGCCCAGAAGCCCUGUUUACUCCAUCACAUUCCCCCAAACCACCAAACCUUCUGAGAGAGGCAUAAAUUCCUCAGCACCAUCUAGUGGCCCUAUCUCUCUUUUUCCCUGGUGUCUAAGAAACAUACCGAUGCUGCCAUCCGUCAUCACUGUGCAGAGGGCUGGGCCUGGAGUCAGGAAGACCUGUGUUCAUAUGCAGCCUCAGACACUAGUUACCUAUGUGACCCUGGCAUCUAUGUAUGGCAUCUUAAAGAUGAAGAAGCUGGCAAAGAAGUCAGAGCUAGGCCUGGCAGUGUCAUGAACACACUAGGCAGCCUCCUCCUCCCAGGUCAAUGAGUUCCUUUCCACGCCUGACCAGAGCCUCAUACUCAUCUGUCACGGGAGCUGAACUCGGGUUGUGUGCAGUCGUCUCCUGUGAAUCUUG
Molecule: long non-coding RNA, 790 nt
Organism: Phascolarctos cinereus (koala)
Lineage: Eukaryota; Metazoa; Chordata; Mammalia; Diprotodontia; Phascolarctidae
Source: RefSeq, a predicted model, not a curated record